AACGAACGCUGGCGGCGUGGAUUAGGCAUGCAAGUCGUACGCGAAAGAGGGAGCAAUCCCUUGAGUAGAGUGGCGAACGGGUGAGUAACGCGUGAGAAACCUGCCUUUGACAGGGGGAUAACACUCCCAACGGGGUGCUAAUACCGCAUGAGACCACGGGAUCGCAUGAUCCUGAGGUCAAAGAUGGCCUCUAUUUAUAAGCUAUCGGUCGAAGAUGGUCUCGCGUCCCAUUAGCUUGUUGGCGGUGUAAAAGACCACCAAGGCGACGAUGGGUAGCUGGU
Molecule: ribosomal RNA, 281 nt
Filed under: uncultured bacterium
Lineage: Bacteria
Description: partial 16S ribosomal RNA
Rfam family: Bacterial small subunit ribosomal RNA
Source: RNAcentral